Molecule: ribosomal RNA, 408 nt
Filed under: Pantoea sp. LL48
Lineage: Bacteria; Pseudomonadati; Pseudomonadota; Gammaproteobacteria; Enterobacterales; Erwiniaceae
Description: partial 16S ribosomal RNA
Rfam family: Bacterial small subunit ribosomal RNA
Source: RNAcentral
UAGAUAUGCGGCAGCCUAACAUGCAGUCGGACGGUAGCACAGAGAACUUGGUCCCUUGUGAGAAGUGUGGGACAGGUGAGUAAUGUCUGGGGAUCUGCCCCAUAUAGGGGGAUAACCCCUGUGAACGGUGGGUAAUACCCCAUAUCGUCUCAAGACCACAGAGGGGGACCUUCUGGCCUCUCUCUAUCUCAUGAGCCCCCAUGGGAUUAUCUCUUAGGCGGGGUAAUGGGCCCCCUAUGCGACAAUCCCUAUCUGGGCUGAGAGGAUGACCCCCCCCACUGUGACUGAGACACGGUCCCCACUCCUACAGGAGGCGCCACUGGGGAAUAUUGUGCACUGUGCGCAAGCCUGAUGCGCCCAUGCCGCGUGUAUGAAAAAAGCCUUCUCGUUGUAAAGUACUUUCUCUGC